Non-coding RNA from Microcebus murinus (gray mouse lemur), 5260 nucleotides. The record is from RefSeq and is a predicted model, not a curated record. NCBI's taxonomy places the organism in Eukaryota, Metazoa, Chordata, Mammalia, Primates, Cheirogaleidae.
AGUGGGGCGAUUACUAGCGCCCAGACCCGCAGGACAGCCUCCUCCCGGGGCUCCCGCCCUGCCCAGAGCCGCCGCUGCGCAGAGACACACGAGAUGGCGUUAAGGUCCCGGCGUCCCUUGCCCGAUCAGUCAGGCUAAUCUGCCUGCCCCUCGAUAAGGGGUGGGAUCGGGUUUCAGGGAGAUUUUCCCGGGAUUACUCGCAGUAGCCGCUCAGUCUAGACAGCCCUCUCGGUUACAGGGGCACAGACAAAGGCGAGAACGGGAGUGCCCGGCCACGAGGCGGCAGGUCUCGUGGGACACCUCCUCGGCCCCCCUCCACCCCCCGCCCGAGGCGGGCAGGGGAGCCGCCGGCCUGUGGGCUCUGGUCAGCGCAGGCGGGGCCUGACCCUGGAGUGUCCCGGGCUGCGCGCCAGGGAGUCACCCCGGCUAGGUGUGGCAGGGAGUGUGGCACGUGCUUUGUGCUCAGCUCCUGCAGUGCUUGCGUGAGCCAGUCGAGUUUGCUGUGCCCAUUUUACAGAUGAGCACAGUUGGGCAUGGGGAGGGGAAGCCCCACCGCUGGAAAGUGGGGUCCUAGGACUUGAAUAGAGGCCUGUCCUUGGCGCUAGCCUGGGAGCCUAGGGGAGCGAUUGGCCGGUGACAGCAGGGCCGCCCCAGCACCGAGGGGACAGGCACAGGCGGGGGGUGGGGGGCGUGCUGACCCCUCAUCUCAGGAAUCAGGGCACGGGGAGUAUAAAAAGGUUUCUUGUGUGCUGCUCUUCGGCACACCCUUCCUGCCACAAGGUGCCAGUGGGUGGCUGGGGUGUGUCGUGGUGCGUGGCCUGUCUACACUCUCCUGUCUGGGUUCCCAGCCUGGUUUGGCUACUUCCUUGCUCUGUGCCCUGGACAAGUCACCUGUGGACAUCGGUGUGUAAAAUGGGACAUCGUCUGUAAAAUGGGAGUGAUGUUUGCCCUGUCCGGCAGUAGCACUGUGUGAGUCGCUGGGGAGGAACACGCGUGAAUUACGUGGCUUGGAGACCGUGGCGUGCUGUGCCCGUGCUGGUCACCAGUUCCUAGCACGCCUGCUGCCGGAGGUAGCCACGAAGGAAUGACUGCAAUGGCCCCCUGCAAAAACAGAAUCAGGGACUCUGGGCUGCCCCCUCUGCACUCCCCCAGCCCGCCCGGCCCAGGAGUGUGGGGAGCAGCACGGCGGCCAGCUGCUCUCGGUGGCCGUCGCCCCAAGGCCACACGCCCCAGGGAGCUGCAUGCCGCCGUGGGCCCUCUCUCCAGCGCUUCUGAUAGUGGGUGGGAGACACGUCCCGGCCCCCAGUGGCAUCCUGGGGACAGGUGGGGGUGGCCCUUCCCCGUGUGUCCCCCUGGGCUGUCGCCGUGGCUGGCUGGGACGCAGGGCCCGCGCUUCUCAGCCUUUGGAACCGAGCCUGGGGAAGAGCCCCGAGACAGCCUCUGGGGCUGCCACGUGCACUCUGGCGUGCGUCUGUGCACGCGCGGGAUGAGACAGAGACAGACAGACAGACCCGGCUCCUGGUCCUCUGACUCGUCCAUCUCGGGUCUGGAACGGGCUGUUGCGACGCCGCGUUGCUCUCGUUCUCUGCUCUUCCUCUGUGAAAGACAGCUCGAGAGGGUGAGGCGACGCUGAUUUAUCUCACGGGUCAGCUUUUCCCAGAGCAGCAACCCCAGCCAUAAGAGCAAGACACGAGGACAGCAAAGCGGGCAGGUUCCGUGGGUCCCGGGGCGUUGCCUCCUGCACAGACGGCCCCGCCCCAGCCGUCUCUGCUCGGGCUCCGCGUCGGGCGGCACCCUUGUCCGUGAGCCUGUGAGGCGGCGGCUGCACGGAGCGGGCCUGGGUGGCCGAGACGGCUCUGCCUUCCCUCCCCUGCGUCACGCAGCUGUCCGGCCUCUGCGCUGUGGCCUUCAGGUCGGAGGGGGCGUAGCGAGGGCUGGGUGGGAGCAGGUGUCUACAUGGCAAGGGACGCAGGAGAGGCAAGAGGAGCUCGUGGAGGAGGUUUGAGUCCUAGUGACCCGAGUUCGAGGCCUGGGUCCAUCAUCUGCCUGCUGUGUGACCUGGGCAAGUCGGCCAACCUCUCUCAGCCUCUGCCUCCUCAUCUGUGGAAUGGGGAGAGUGACAGGACGUAAGGCUGAGGCCGUCGUGAGGACGUGUCUGAGACGGCGGGUCCUGUGCCGGGGAGGCUGGCGCGGGCGCCGUCGGCAGGGCCGGGAACCGCUGGCAAGGCGUCCGCCGUGGGCUCUGCAGGUGUGGGGCUCGCCCCGCGUGAUUGGCCUUGGGGGCCUCGACGCAUUUCCGUCUUUACAAAUGCAUUAACAAUGCUGCUGGGCUCAGAAGAGAAGCCAGCCCGACGUAAGCGUGGCCCGCUCUUUGGAGCGGAGAGUCCCAACCCCCGCCAGGCCGGGCUCGGCUGCCCCCAGCACGGCGAGCAGAGCCGCAACGAAAUGGGCACGCGCUCGCGGACGUGACUGUGCCGUCAGCAUCCGCGGAUCUGGUGGACCCUCAUCUUGUCCGCAUUUAGCCAGCGAACAAUGUCAGCGCCAGAGAGGAGGGAACCGUGCCCGUGGGUGGAAACGGCGACAUUCCUUGCAAAAAAGGAAACCGAAGAAGCAGCUUUGCCGCCUCCUCUCUGUAGCGCCUCGAGUCGAUUACUUGACAGCUCUGGGCCUCAGUUUUCUCAGUCUGUGCAAUGGGAUAAUUCUCGUUUAAUCUAUCCACUGGGCUGCACAGACGAUCACGUGAAAGUAUAUACCGAGAAGAUGUUAAGUAUGAAACGUUACGCUGCCGUGUAGAAUUGUUACUGACGGAGGAACUAGUGGCAUGUGGAUAAUCACCACUGGCAACAGUUGAAAAGCCUUCAGGUUCUGUGUGCCAGACUGAGAAGCUUGGCCAAUGCGCUCCCCAAAAAGCAAUGAUGAAACUGUCAGAAACCACCAUUUCAGGGCUCUACAAACUGAUCAGGAUCAUACAUUUUCUGAUGCCUAUACUCUCGCUGUCGAAGAGCACAAAGUACACCGUCUUGAUGGAAGAGGACAUCGUGGACACAAAGUAGCUGGAGAUGGCCUUCAGGAUCAGCUGAGCUGCCGUCUGCUUCGGAAAACCGUUCCUGCGGGAGAGAAGGCAAGCUCUGAGCGCGGGGCCACCACGGUGGUCACGGAACCUGCCCUGUCCCCGGGCAGCCCCCCUCGCAGGAAGCCCUGGAGGCUGUGUGCGCCGCAGUGGCCUCCUGCUGGGUCACAGCAUGCCCUGAGCCCUGCGGCUGCUGGUCCACCAGUGUGAGAAAGCCCAGUGCCCGGCGACGGGGGCCAGACACCAGGCAGAGAGCCUCGACCCUGUGUGUGCCUUCACACAAGAAGGCGUCCAGGAAGUUCUCUGAAGGACAACCAGCCAGCAGGCGGGACAGCGUCCUGCAGGGUGUGUUGGGCCCCCAAGUGCGGCACAGAGACCUGCGUUUCUCUUCCCAUCAUCCCUGCAGCCCGCACAGAGCGUGAGCCACAGCCCAGACUCUCUGUGCUCCAGCGCGAGUCACCCCGGGCCUAGCUGGAGGUUCCCUGGGAAGGCCCUGACCUCCGUCCCUCGAGCAGAAGGGUUGUGCCCUUCACACUGGCCUCUAGAGUCCACAGGUGCGGGGGCUGCUGCCUGGAAUCUACCCCCCAAUAUACACCAGCUCCCGUCCCACCCCACAGGCCAGGCUGUCGGGAGCCGUGGUGCUGGGGAGGAACUCUGGGCCGAGUGGGCUGUUCAACGAGGUGAUGUCACCAAGUCUCCAAGCCAGUUGUGUUUGGAUUCACACACGUUUCUGUCUAAAGCAAAUGCCACGCGGCAGUUUUUGGAAUUAGGUGCUCAGAAGUUAAGAGUCUGCAGUCACGCCUGGGAGGACUGGCGCUGCUCCCGGGCCACGCCGAGGGUGGCCGCCUGCCUGGCUGGUGGAAACAGCCUGGAAUCGAACCCCUACUGACCCCAUUUUACAGGAGUCGAGCAGCACAGAGGCUGGGUUAUCUGGAACGAGACACACGUUGGGAAGGACUGAGGUGGUAAACUCGACCUUCUGCUUUUGGGAGGCAUCUACCCAGCGCUGCAGGCUGCUUCCUACUGCGGACCGGGCUCCCAGGGCCUGCUGCAGCCUGCACAUGAACCAAAGGGACUCCAAGGGCUGCUAGAACGAGCAGAGCCCUGUCUGUAGACGUGACCUGGAUGCUUGGGGCGGAGAAAGGCUGUGAAGCCCCGCAAAGGAGGACACCUGUCUCAGGCUCACACCUGCACAGGAAGCCCCAGCCUGUGGAAGAAACCCUCCCCACCCCCGUGGGAUUGUGGCUCGUCCGGACCACGCAUGCGUCCAGGAGGGACCGAGGAAGACUCUGCCUCUCUGAAGUUGCCCGAGGCCCGUCGAUCAGAAGACCAGACCCCUGGGAUCCUCAGCCGAGGGCACCGGUAUACGAGAGGGCCCAGUCCAGACCCUGAACCUUCCAACGGCCUUCGACUCAGCCCCUGGUGAUGCGACGGACACGGUCUCAGCGGUGGCGCUGCUCUGCAUGGCGGCACAGAGGUCUCAGAGCGACCCAGAGACGCCGCAUGGUUUAAUUCACGCCCCACUACUCGGGUCCUGGCUCGGCCAGUAACCAACUAACUCCAGACCUGGUCCCCCAGCCAGAGUGCAACGCUGCUCCAACAGGCAGCUGCGUGCUGGCAUCUGGGGCACAAAACGAGGGGGGUUGCGGCCAAGUCCUACCUGCAUCGUCAGCUGUCAAAGGACUACACUCCUCCAGUGGUAGCCAUCAGUCUUAGGGGCAGCUGUGCUGCUCCUACAGCCCUGGGUGAGUCUACCUGGGGGUAUUUCAGGGACAGGAGGUGGGUAGGGCCCAGCCCUGCCCUGUUCAGUUCCGCCAGGCCCAUCACCACAUAGGGAGGCCCUGGAUAGAAAGGUGAGGGGUAGAGUGCUCUGAUCAAAAAAUUUUGUGGUUUGGGGACAGAACCAGAACAGAGUUGCAGGCUUAUUCUGGGAUGGCCGUGCUAUCAGUGUAUCUGCAUCCACACCUCGCCAUCCAAGGCUCAGUGCCCCUCAAAAAGCACUGAGGCCCCAGGCCAUCACACUGUGAUGACAUCAGAGGUUUUCUAUUGCCCUUGGGCCUCCCUCUCUCAUCGCUUUCAGCAUUGUUGAAUGUGCAUGUCCUUCCUUAUUCCAAGCUUCUGGUCGUCUUGGCAAAGGCAGACACAGGGCCUUGCAGAGCUCGGGCUCCGCAGCUGGGGGCCAGCAUGCCG